UUCGUAGGGGGCAAGCGUUGUCCGGAAUCAUUGGGCGUAAAGAGCGUGUAGGCGGUCCGGUAAGUCGGCUGUGAAAGUCCAGGGCUCAACCCUGGGAUGCCGGUCGAUACUGCCGGACUAGAGUUCGGAAGAGGCGAGUGGAAUUCCCGGUGUAGCGGUGAAAUGCGCAGAUAUCGGGAGGAACACCUAUGGCGAAGGCAGCUCGCUGGGACGUUACUGACGCUGAGACGCGAAAGCGUGGGGAGCAAACAGG
Molecule: ribosomal RNA, 253 nt
Filed under: uncultured bacterium
Lineage: Bacteria
Description: partial 16S ribosomal RNA
Rfam family: Bacterial small subunit ribosomal RNA
Source: RNAcentral